RNAcentral lists this ribosomal RNA (506 nucleotides) under uncultured bacterium. RNAcentral's name for it is "partial 16S ribosomal RNA". It matches the Rfam family "Bacterial small subunit ribosomal RNA", at positions 30 to 523 of the family's 1533-position model. The record is from RNAcentral.
AUUGAACGCUGGCGGCAGGCCUAACACAUGCAAGUCGAGCGGUAACACAGAGGAGCUUGCUCCUUGGGUGACGAGCGGCGGACGGGUGAGUAAUGCCUGGGGAUCUGCCCGAUAGAGGGGGAUAACUACGGGAAACUGAAGCUAAUACCGCAUAACGUCUACGGACCAAAGUGGGGGCUCUUCGGACCUCAUGCUAUCGGAUGAACCCAGGUGGGAUUAGCUAGUUGGUGAGGUAAUGGCUCACCAAGGCGACGAUCUCUAACUGGUUUGAGAGAAUGACCAGUCACACUGGAACUGAGACACGGUCCAGACUCCGGCGGGAGGCGGCAGUGGGGAAUAUUGCACAAUGGGCGCAAGCCUGAUGCAGCCAUGCCGCGUGUGUGAAGAAGGCCUUCGGGUUGUAAAGCACUUUCAGCGAGGAGGAAGGGUUACUAGCUAAUACCUAGUGACAUUGACGUUACUCGCAGAAGAAGCACCGGCUAACUCCGUGCCAGCCGCCGCGGUAA